This 72-nucleotide transfer RNA is filed under the name Caudoviricetes sp. Its description in RNAcentral is "tRNA-Asn". It matches the Rfam family "tRNA". Rfam says of the family: Transfer RNA (tRNA) molecules are approximately 80 nucleotides in length. Their secondary structure includes four short double-helical elements and three loops (D, anti-codon, and T loops). The record is from RNAcentral. Lineage: Duplodnaviria; Heunggongvirae; Uroviricota; Caudoviricetes.
GCUGGUGUAGCUCAGAGGCAGAGCAAGUGGCUGUUAACCACUGGGUCGGGAUUUCGAAAUUCUCCACUAGCG